UACGAAGGGUGCAAACGUUGCUCGGAAUUAUUGGGCGUAAAGCGCACGUAGGCGGCUUUGCAAGUCCCAUGUGAAAUCCCACGGCUCAACCGUGGAAGUGCAUGGGAAACUGCAGAGCUUGAGUACUUAAGAGGAUCGCGGAAUUCCCGGUGUAGAGGUGGAAUUCGUAGAUAUCGGGAGGAACACCAGUGGCGAAGGCGGCGAUCUGGGAAGAUACUGACGCUGAGGUGCGAAAGCGUGGGGAGCAAACAGG
RNAcentral lists this ribosomal RNA (253 nucleotides) under uncultured bacterium. RNAcentral describes it as "partial 16S ribosomal RNA". It matches the Rfam family "Bacterial small subunit ribosomal RNA", at positions 524 to 776 of the family's 1533-position model. The record is from RNAcentral.